RNAcentral lists this transfer RNA (85 nucleotides) under Campylobacter fetus subsp. testudinum. RNAcentral describes it as "tRNA-Leu (TAG) (tRNA-Leu-TAG-1-1)". It matches the Rfam family "tRNA". Rfam says of the family: Transfer RNA (tRNA) molecules are approximately 80 nucleotides in length. Their secondary structure includes four short double-helical elements and three loops (D, anti-codon, and T loops). Lineage: Bacteria; Pseudomonadati; Campylobacterota; Epsilonproteobacteria; Campylobacterales; Campylobacteraceae. The record is from RNAcentral.
GCGGACGUGGUGAAAUUGGUAGACACGCCAGACUUAGGAUCUGGUGCCUUACGGUGUGGAGGUUCAAGUCCUCUCGUCCGCACCA